CUUGGGCAAGUCGCUCCACUUCUCUGGGAUUGAAACAGGGUGGUUGAACAUGUCCAGAUGGAGACAAGAAAUGACAUCACAGAGGGCCUGGAGGAUAAGUAGACAAGGCUCAAGCAGGAGGAGCCAAUUGCAGGGCGCCAGCGAGAGGAAGCACUUCGGGAGGUGAGGCCCAGACCCGGAGGAGGCAGUGGGAAGAGGGGGAGCAGGGAACAGUGGACCAACCCGACCCUCCAACUCUUCAGAGAGGACACUGAGCCUAGUAAAGCUGAAACCCAACUCGACAGGAGGAGGAAGAGGAGGAGGAAGAGGGCGGUGGCAGUGGACCCCAACACUGACAGAGGUCAAACGGGAAGAUCUCUGCCGAGCAAGCUGGACUGCCCCGGCUCCAUCAGACAAAGCUCUCUCUAAGUUAGGGGACUGGGAGAGUUCCAGCGGCAGAGGGAAAAGGAGCGAUGAUGAGUAGCAGAGCGUGGCGACUCUUCAGGAGGAGGAGGACUGCAGCAGCGGUGGACCCCAGUACAGACAGAUGUCAAACAGGAAGAUCUCUGCCGAAUAAGCUGGACUCCCCCAGAACGAUUAUUAGGAGGGGGUGGCAAGAGAAAAAUGAUCUGAGAUGGAAUCGCAUGGCAGAGAUGCCUAGGACCCAUAGAGACGAUCCUUAGCUCUCCCUGGGACAAAUAGGGUAGGUGGGGAGGGGCUGGGGAGUGAUCCCCGGAUUUGGCUAAGGCAGGGUCUGGGGGAGUUUCAGUGGCAGAGGGAAGAGGAACAGCAGUGAACAGCGGAACACGGUGACUCGUCAGGAGGAGGACGGCGGCGGCGGACCCCAGUGCUGCCAGAUGUCAAAGAGGAAGAUCUCUGCAGUGCAAGCUAGACUCUCCUGGGACAAUCAGACAGAGGCCUGGGGGAGUUCCAGUGGCAGCAGAACACGGUGACUCAAGACGGCAGUGGUGGAUCCCAAUGCUGACAGACGUCCAACGUGAAGAUCUCUGCCAAGCAAGCUGGACUCCCCUGGAACAAUUAGCUAGAGGGAGAAGAGGGUGGCAAGAGGAAGAUGAACAGAGAUGGAAUCCCAUGGGGGCAGGGAGGACUGAGAUCUCUAGAACCAACCCUUAGCUCUCCCUGGGUCAGGAAGUGUGGAUGGGGCAGACCCUGGAUUAGGCUAGAACAGGGCCUGGGGGAGUUCCAGUGGCAGAGGGAAGAUGAGCGACGGUGACCAGUGGAGCAGGUAACUCAUCAGGAGGCAGUGGACAGCAGUGGUGGACCCCAGUACUGUCAGAUGUCAAACAGGAAGAUUUCUGCUGAGCAAGCUGGAUACUCCCAGGGAAGGGGGAAGGAGGCUAAAGGAAAAUGAUCCAGGAUGGGGGCGGAGAGAGCUGAGAUCUCGAGCCAACCCUUAGCUCUCCCUGGGAUGGGCAGUGUGCAUGAGGAGCUGGGCAGUGACCUCUAGAAAGGCCUAGGACAGGGCCUGGGGGAUUUCCGGUGGCAGAGGGGAGAGAAGCAGUAGUGAGCAGCUGAACACAGUAACUUGUCAGCAGGAGGAGGACGGCAGCAGUGGACCUCAGUACUGCCAGAUGGAAAAACAGGAAGAUCUCUGCCGAAAAAGCUGGACUCCCCUGGAACAAUUAGAUGCAGGGGGAAGGAGGGGGCAAAGGGAAGAUGGAAAAGGGAGUGACCCCUGGAUUAGGCUAGGAUAGGGUCUGGGGGUGUUCCGGAAAAGGUAGUGACCCCUGGAUUAGGCUAGGAUAGGGUCUGGGGGUGGUCCAGUGGCAGAGGGAAGAAGAGCACCAGGACACAGUGACUCGUCAGGAGGACGAGGACGGCAGCGGUGGACCCCAAUACUGCCGGACGUCAAACGCGAAGAUCUCUACCGAGCAAGCUGGAUUCCUAGCACACCCUCCCACUUCACAUCCUAUACUCACUUCCUCCUUUCAAACCCUUAUUAAAAGCAUAUCUCCAAGUGA
This is a long non-coding RNA of Ornithorhynchus anatinus (platypus), 1961 nucleotides long. RefSeq lists it as uncharacterized. The transcript has 5 exons. The record is from RefSeq and is a predicted model, not a curated record. Lineage: Eukaryota; Metazoa; Chordata; Mammalia; Monotremata; Ornithorhynchidae.